RNAcentral lists this ribosomal RNA (204 nucleotides) under uncultured bacterium. RNAcentral's name for it is "partial 16S ribosomal RNA". It matches the Rfam family "Bacterial small subunit ribosomal RNA", at positions 28 to 233 of the family's 1533-position model. The record is from RNAcentral.
GACGAACGCUGGCGGCGUGCUUAACACAUGCAAGUCGAGCGGUAAGGCCCUUUCGGGGUACGACGAGCGGCGAACGGGUGAGUAACACGUGGGUGACCUGCCUUUAGCUCUGGGAUAAGCCUGGGAAACUGGGUCUAAUACCGGAUACGACUCCGCGGUGCAUGCUGUGGGGUGGAAAGCCUUGUGCGGCUGGAGAUGGGCCCG